GUUCCAGCCGCCGCGGUAAUACGGAGGGUGCAAGCGUUAUCCGGAUUCACUGGGUUUAAAGGGAGCGCAGGCGGACUGGUAAGUCAGUGGUGAAAGCCCUGGGCUCAACCCGGGAACUGCCAUUGAUACUAUCAGUCUUGAAUAUCGUUGAGGUUUGCGGAAUGGGUCAUGUAGCGGUGAAAUGCAUAGAUAUGACCCGGAACACCUAUUGCGAAGGCAGCAGGCUAAGCGAAGAUUGACGCUGAGGCUCGAAAGCGUGGGGAUCAAACAGGAUUAGAUACCCCAGUAGUCC
This 292-nucleotide ribosomal RNA is filed under the name uncultured bacterium. Its description in RNAcentral is "partial 16S ribosomal RNA". It matches the Rfam family "Bacterial small subunit ribosomal RNA", at positions 505 to 796 of the family's 1533-position model. The record is from RNAcentral.